UGUAUAUCUGCACACCUGAAGAG
This 23-nucleotide non-coding RNA is filed under the name Cricetulus griseus (Chinese hamster). Lineage: Eukaryota; Metazoa; Chordata; Mammalia; Rodentia; Cricetidae. The record is from RNAcentral.